This 1271-nucleotide long non-coding RNA is filed under the name Taeniopygia guttata (zebra finch). RNAcentral's name for it is "lncRNA (ENSTGUG00000023813.1)". Lineage: Eukaryota; Metazoa; Chordata; Aves; Passeriformes; Estrildidae. The record is from RNAcentral.
AUUGCAAUUUCCUCUCUAGUUUUCUGCUCUCUUUGAUCAUUUCCUAUCCCCCUUUCUUGAGAGGAGAUUCUGAACGUUGUUAAGCAGCUUUUGUUGCAGAUAUUUACAUUCAGUAACUGAUGCCCAGUGCAGAGCCUGCUAAUGGCUCAUUCAGGAAGAAAUACAUGAAGUGUGAGGUACAGUGAGGCUUAUAUUAAUCUUAUGUGUUCACACCUAAAAUUGACUUCAUAUUUUCAAAGAUUUUGAUGAAUAGUGCUGCAUUCAAGAAAACAGAAAACUAAAUAAAGCUCAAGUAAAGAUUUCCUGAUUAAGUAUUUUUCACAGGAACUAAACCUGAAAUCAAAGCUGGCUCCAGAGAUGUGCUCAACAUGCCAGUAGCAUGUUGCAGGCUGUUCUCUCCACCUCACUGCACAGAGAAAACACCCCAGAGUAUCCUGUUCAGAGCCACUUCCUCACCCUACAUCCCAGUGGAUGCAACUUCUGAAAGGAAGCAGAGCCGGCAAGGAUGGAGUACUUUUGGGAAUCAUUCCCAGCAUAUGGAGACUGCAUUCUGCAGCAAGCAAGGGCAGUUCCCUCAGCAAGUGGAAAAUGGGCUUCACCUCCCUGUGGUCUCCCUGUGGUUUGCUUCCCUUGCGAUAUUAUUUUUGAACAGCAGGCAAGAGCUCUGUGCUUCUUGUCCUGUUUAGUAAAUCCAAUAACCAAACCUGGCCCACUUCUGGGUGGUCCUCUCGAAAAACCCAAAAUCCAUGCCAAGGCCAUGUGAUAUAAUAAUCAUAAGAAAUACAGGGAUUGCUUUGACAUAUACCUCAAAAUCAAUUUUUCAGGAAAUGGGAUGUUUCAACCAAUGUGUCCAUUCCAUAUGGAUUUUGCCCCACACUAUUUCUUUUACUUAUUCAGUGUCUUUGUCCUUCAUUCCAGUAAAGCCAGAAUUACAAGCCUGGAAAAUGAAGAUCCCUGGUGCAUGAUGCUUGACUUGAUCUCAGGCUGGUAGACGUUAGCCUGCACAAAACGCCUCCCAAGUUAAGGAAUUCAGAUCUGGAUUUGCUGGGCAGCCCGACUGCUUUCAUGACCAAGAAAAAGAAAGAGAGAUGUUAAAAUCCAUCCAUAAAAAGCCAGCCAUGAAAACCCAAACGUAAGCAUGGUUUCCUUUUAUUUUGCUGCAUACUUUGCGGGUACAGCCGGCGCUCAGGGGCUGCUCGGGGCAGGCGGGGAUGCGGAGCGCUGCCCGGCCGGCGGGGCCGUGCCAGCGGCUCUCUGGCAGCCGCCGCUCC